This 162-nucleotide unclassified non-coding RNA is filed under the name uncultured fungus. RNAcentral's name for it is "sequence contains ITS1, 5.8S rRNA gene". Lineage: Eukaryota; Fungi. The record is from RNAcentral.
CUGUAAGAGACAUUAGGGUUCUUGAGACUGCGUAAUAAAACGUGUGCUCGACCCUUAUUCUUUUCAUCCACACACACCUUUGUGCACUAUGGGACGCAAGUCCCCAUUUUCACAUUAAAAUCUAGUUAUAUGCAUGUCUUUUAUACUCUAUGGAGUAAUGUA